UAAUAAACAACAACAAAAAUU
RNAcentral lists this non-coding RNA (21 nucleotides) under Caenorhabditis elegans. The record is from RNAcentral. Lineage: Eukaryota; Metazoa; Nematoda; Chromadorea; Rhabditida; Rhabditidae.